RNAcentral lists this ribosomal RNA (250 nucleotides) under uncultured bacterium. Its description in RNAcentral is "partial 16S ribosomal RNA". It matches the Rfam family "Bacterial small subunit ribosomal RNA", at positions 524 to 773 of the family's 1533-position model. The record is from RNAcentral.
UACGAAGGUCCCAAGCGUUAUCCGGAUUUAUUGGGUUUAAAGGGUGCGUAGGCGGGUUAUUAAGUCAGUGGUGAAAGCUCCAUGCCUAACAUGGAAAUUGCCAUUGAUACUGAUGACCUUGAGUACAUUUGAAGUGGGCGGAAUGUGUCAUGUAGCGGUGAAAUGCUUAGAUAUGACACAGAACACCGAUUGCGAAGGCAGCUCGCUAAACUGUAACUGACGCUGAGGCACGAAAGCGCGGGGAGCAAAC